GCGAAAGUGGCGGAACUGGUAGACGCGCCGGAUUUAGGAUCCGGUGGGGAAACCCUUGAGAGUUCGAGUCUCUCCUUUCGCACCA
RNAcentral lists this transfer RNA (85 nucleotides) under Gammaproteobacteria bacterium. Its description in RNAcentral is "tRNA-Leu". It matches the Rfam family "tRNA". From Rfam's summary of the family: Transfer RNA (tRNA) molecules are approximately 80 nucleotides in length. RNAcentral also lists the same sequence under 2 other names. Lineage: Bacteria; Pseudomonadati; Pseudomonadota; Gammaproteobacteria. The record is from RNAcentral.